UUUGGAAAGCGGGAGAGAGUCUGGUGGCGUGGUCUGUUUCUGCAGGCGUGGAGCGACCUCCAGGGGUCGUUAGUGAGUUAGAGAAACAGAGUGUGAGGAAGGAGUCUGAUGCAACCCUUCGGAUCGUAGCUGUGCCGCGUCUGGAUUUUCUGCCCCGUGGGCGUCGAGGCUUGCCUCAGCCUAGCGCUUCUGCCUGCUGCGGCUUUGUUGGCGUUGGGCACCAGACAACCUGGCCAAAACAAUUGGUGGCAGAUGGGAGCUUUUGGAGGAAACGAGAAGAACGGAAAGUCCAAAGGAAAAGCUUCAAGACAUGGUCAGGCAAGAUGUCAACAUCUGUCAUACGUCACUUCAUGUGCCAGGCUCUUUCACCUAAGGACUUUGUAAGUAUGGAUGUCUAGUGACAUUCUGCAAACAGCCACACUGAAUCCACUUUAGACCUUUUUAUAGGAACUCGUAUGAGCGCCUUCUAAAUGACCCUGUACAACCAAGGCCAAGGCAGCCUGGCUGCGCACGGCUGACUGAAGAGACCCUCUGCCAGUGGGGCUGCACAGGCCCCCUCUCACUGAAGAGCCUGGGGCGAUGAAAACAGCUCGUUUCUCUUUCACUUCCUGAUAGUGUAAUUCUCCAAAAGAUAAUAAAGUAGUAAAGCUAAAGAAUUAAAGAAUCCAAUUAACAGGCUUAAGUGUAUAUAUGAACAAAACCUGGGCUUGGCCAACAAGGGAGAAGGGGAAUGACUAGGGAGUAGGCACCAAAAAAAUCUGCUACAAUUGUCUGUACCCGUGUAUUCUAAAAUUUUCCACAAUAAAACACUGCAGAGCAGGGUGUGGCGGCACACACCUGUAAUCCUAACACCCUGGCAGGCUGAGGAUUGCAAUUUCAAGCCCAGCCUGGGCAAUCUGUCUACUUAGCUAGACCUUAUCUCAAAAAAUAAAAGAGGUUGGGAAUAUACCACAGUGUGAAGGUGCUGGGUUCAUUCCCUAAUUAAAAAAACAAAACAAAACAAAAAACUUUGCCUAUAUGAUUAAAAAAGAAAAAGAAAAUAUAAAUAUGAGGUAAAAUUGACACAUAAAACUAGAAAAGGUAGUCGUACCUUGAGGUAUCUGAGACAGAUAUAGUAGUAAAGGAAGCAGACCCAUUUCCUGGAAACCAACUCACUAAUUAGUCAGAAGCAGACCCAUUUCCUGGAAACCAACUCACUAAUUAGUCAAUCUACCAUAUUUACUUCUCUUAUGUACAAAAUUUACAGCCUUUCAUACUGAAUGGAGUUCUCUUCA
RNAcentral lists this long non-coding RNA (1274 nucleotides) under Chinchilla lanigera (long-tailed chinchilla). Its description in RNAcentral is "lncRNA (ENSCLAG00000025861.1)". Lineage: Eukaryota; Metazoa; Chordata; Mammalia; Rodentia; Chinchillidae. The record is from RNAcentral.